Molecule: microRNA precursor, 205 nt
Filed under: Oryza rufipogon (brownbeard rice)
Lineage: Eukaryota; Viridiplantae; Streptophyta; Magnoliopsida; Poales; Poaceae
Description: MIR812 microRNA precursor family
Rfam family: MIR812 microRNA precursor family
Source: Rfam by way of RNAcentral
AAAAAGACAAACCCUGAUUUCCGUGUCCAACGUUUGACUGUCCGUCUUAUUUAAAAAAAAUAUGAAAAAAAAUUAAAAAGACAAGUCACGCAUAAAAUAUUAAUCAUGUUUUAUCAUUUAACAAUAAUAAAAAUACGAAUUAUAAAAAAAUUUCAUAUAAAACGGACAGUCAAAGUUAGACACGGAAAUCUAGGUUUUGCUUCUU